UAGCGGCGGACGGGUGAGUAACACGUGGGUGACUGGCUCAGAGAGGGGAAUAGCCUUCCGAAAGGAAGAUUAAUACCGCAUAAUAUACGCAUUUAGCAUUAUAAGCGUAUCAAAGGAGAAAUCCGCUUUGAGAUGGGCCCGCGGCGCAUUAGCUAGUUGGAGAGGUAACGGGUCACCAAGGCGACGAUGCGUAGCCGACCUGAGAGGGUGAUCGGGCACAUUGGAACUGAGACACGGUCCAGACUCCUACGGGAGGCAGCAGUGGGGAAUAUUGCACAAUGGGGGAAACCCUGAUGCAGCAACGCCGCGUGAAUGAUGAAGGCCUUCGGGUCGUAAAGUUCUUUGAUUGGGGACGAUAAUGACGGUACCCAAAAAACAAGCCACG
RNAcentral lists this ribosomal RNA (385 nucleotides) under uncultured Eubacteriales bacterium. Its description in RNAcentral is "bacterial SSU rRNA". It matches the Rfam family "Bacterial small subunit ribosomal RNA", at positions 93 to 495 of the family's 1533-position model. Lineage: Bacteria; Bacillati; Bacillota; Clostridia; Eubacteriales. The record is from RNAcentral.